This 107-nucleotide non-coding RNA is filed under the name pig gut metagenome. RNAcentral's name for it is "FMN riboswitch (RFN element)". It matches the Rfam family "FMN riboswitch aptamer (RFN element)". Rfam says of the family: The RFN element is a highly conserved domain that is found frequently in the 5'-untranslated regions of prokaryotic mRNAs that encode for flavin mononucleotide (FMN) biosynthesis and transport proteins. This element is a metabolite-dependent riboswitch that directly binds FMN in the absence of proteins. The record is from RNAcentral.
UUCUUCAGGGCGUGGUGAAAUUCCACACUGGCGGUAAAGUCCGCGAACCAUUAUGGCCGACUCGGUGAAACUCCGGGACCAACAGUAAAGUCUGGAUGAAAGAAGAA